AUACGGCGGAUCCGAGCGUUAUCCGGAUUUAUUGGGUUUAAAGGGAGCGUAGGCGGACGCUUAAGUCAGUUGUGAAAGUUUGCGGCUCAACCGUAAAAUUGCAGUUGAUACUGGGUGUCUUGAGUACAGUAGAGGCAGGCGGAAUUUGUGGGGUAGCGGGGGAAUGCUUAGAUAUCACGAAGAACUCCGAUUGCGAAGGCAGCCUGCUGGACUGUAACUGACGCUGAUGCUCGAAAGUGUGGGUAUCAAACAGGAUUAGAUACCCUGGUAGUCCACACAGUAAACGAUGAAUACUCGCUGUUUGCGAUAUACAGUAAGCGGCCAAGCGAAAGCGUUAAGUAUUCCACCUGGGGAGUACGCCGGCAACGGUGAAACUCAAAUGAAUUGACGGGG
Molecule: ribosomal RNA, 393 nt
Filed under: uncultured bacterium
Lineage: Bacteria
Description: partial 16S ribosomal RNA
Rfam family: Bacterial small subunit ribosomal RNA
Source: RNAcentral